AAGUCGUAACAAGGUUUCCGUAGGUGAACCUGCGGAAGGAUCAUUGUCGAAACCUGCAAAGUAGACCCGUGAACAUGUGUUUAACAUAAACGGUGCCUCGAUGUAGGUGCUCAAGCCCCUCGUUGAGAGCCCCGCGCCCACUUGACGCUUGCGUUUAGUGGGCUAACGAACCCCGGCGCGGCAUGCGCCAAGGAAAACUUAAAGAAGCGUUGCCCCCACGACGCCCGCUUGCGGUGCGCUUGUGGGGAUGCGACGAAUCUAGAAAGUCAAAACGACUCUCGGCAACGGAUAUCUCGGCUCUCGCAUCGAUGAAGAACGUAGCGAAAUGCGAUACUUGGUGUGAAUUGCAGAAUCCCGUGAACCAUCGAGUCUUUGAACGCAAGUUGCGCCCGAAGCCAUUCGGCCGAGGGCACGCCUGCCUGGGCGUCACGCAUCGCGUCACCCCCUCCCGAUCCCUCGGGAUCUACGAGUGGGGUGGAAAUUGGUCUCCCGUGUGCCUUUGUGUGUGCGGUUGGCCUAAAUAUGAUCCUGCAUCGACGGAUGUCAUGACCAGUGGUGGGUGAAAGCUCAGUCUUGCUGUCGUGCGUCAACCCGUCGUAUGACACGGAAUCAAGUCGACCCAAUGGUGCUAAAUGUGCCUCCGACCGCGACCCCAGGUCAGGCGGGAUUACCCGCUGAGUUUAA
Molecule: ribosomal RNA, 684 nt
Filed under: Veronicastrum stenostachyum
Lineage: Eukaryota; Viridiplantae; Streptophyta; Magnoliopsida; Lamiales; Plantaginaceae
Description: eukaryotic LSU rRNA
Rfam family: 5.8S ribosomal RNA (bases 274-429)
Source: RNAcentral